This 492-nucleotide ribosomal RNA is filed under the name uncultured bacterium. RNAcentral's name for it is "partial 16S ribosomal RNA". It matches the Rfam family "Bacterial small subunit ribosomal RNA", at positions 29 to 507 of the family's 1533-position model. The record is from RNAcentral.
AGUGAACGCUGGCGGUAGGCCUAACACAUGCAAGUCGAACGGCAGCACAGUAAGAGCUUGCUCUUACGGGUGGCGAGUGGCGGACGGGUGAGGAAUACAUCGGAAUCUACUUUUUCGUGGGGGAUAACGUAGGGAAACUUACGCUAAUACCGCAUACGACCUACGGGUGAAAGCAGGGGAUCUUCGGACCUUGCGCGAUUGAAUGAGCCGAUGUCGGAUUAGCUAGUUGGCGGGGUAAAGGCCCACCAAGGCGACGAUCCGUAGCUGGUCUGAGAGGAUGAUCAGCCACACUGGAACUGAGACACGGUCCAGACUCCUACGGGAGGCAGCAGUGGGGAAUAUUGGACAAUGGGGGCAAGCCUGAUCCAGCCAUACCGCGUGGGUGAAGAAGGCCUUCGGGUUGUAAAGCCCUUUUGUUGGGAAAGGAAAGCAGCAGGUUAAUACCCCGCUGUUCUGGCGGUACCCAAAGAAUAAGCACCGGCUAACUUCGUG